GGACGAACGCUGGCGGCGUGCUUACCCCAUGCAAGUCGAACGGAAAGGCCCUGCUUUUGUGGGGUGCUCGAGUGGCGAACGGGUGAGUAACACGUGAGUAACCUGCCCUUGACUUUGGGAUAACUUCAGGAAACUGGGGCUAAUACCGGAUAGGAGCUCCUGCUGCAUGGUGGGGGUUGGAAAGUUUCGGCGGUUGGGGAUGGACUCGCGGCUUAUCAGCUUGUUGGUGGGGUAGUGGCUUACCAAGGCUUUGACGGGUAGCCGGCCUGAGAGGGUGACCGGCCACAUUGGGACUGAGAUACGGCCCAGACUCCUACGGGAGGCAGCAGUGGGGAAUAUUGCACAAUGGGCGGAAGCCUGAUGCAGCAACGCCGCGUGCGGGAUGACGGCCUUCGGGUGGUAAACCGCUUUCGCCUGUGACGAAGCGUGAGUGACGGUAAUGGGUAAAGAAGCACCGGCUAACUACGU
Molecule: ribosomal RNA, 468 nt
Filed under: uncultured bacterium
Lineage: Bacteria
Description: partial 16S ribosomal RNA
Rfam family: Bacterial small subunit ribosomal RNA
Source: RNAcentral